UGGGAAGACAGGUGCUUUUUCUUGAGGGC
This 29-nucleotide non-coding RNA is filed under the name Mus musculus (house mouse). Lineage: Eukaryota; Metazoa; Chordata; Mammalia; Rodentia; Muridae. The record is from RNAcentral.